Molecule: ribosomal RNA, 1962 nt
Filed under: uncultured soil eukaryote
Lineage: Eukaryota
Description: partial small subunit ribosomal RNA
Rfam family: Eukaryotic small subunit ribosomal RNA
Source: RNAcentral
UAUGUGGAUACCUGUGGAAAAGCUAGAGAUAAUACAUGCAAAAAGGGGAAAUUCUAGCAAUAGAAAAUCCUUGCAUUAACUGGCAUCAUUUUAAAAGGAGGUACAAAUCUUUUUUGAUGAAACACAGUUCACUAAAUAGCAGAGCGAAGCAAUUCGCCGCUUCAUUCAAAUUUCUUAUCUAUCAACUUUCGAUUGUAUCAUAGGGGCAUACAAUGGUUUUAACGGGUAACAGAGAAUAAGGGUUUUAUUCUGGAGAGGGAGCCUUAGAAACAGCUACCACUUCCAAGGAAGGCAGCAGGCGCGAAAAUUACUCAAUAAUAAUACAUUGAAGUAGUAACAAUAAAUAACGACUACGUAAAUAUUUAGAAAUAAAUAUUGUAGAUUGUAAUGAGUACAAUUUAAAAUUAUUAAUUAGAAUCAACUAGAGGGCAAGUCUGGUGCCAGCAGCCGCGGUAAUUCCAGCUCUAGUAGUAUAUAUUUAAGUUGUUGUAAUUAAAAAGCUCGUAGUUGAAACUUUAAUACCUUUUAUAUUGAAUUGAAUAAAAUAAUUUUAUUUGGUUCAAUGAGGUAUUAAUAUCUAGAAUAAUUAACUUUAUAUAAGAAUGAAAGUUUUUAUAUAAAUGUUUUUAUUCAUUUUACCAUAAGUAAAAUAGAGUGUUUAAAGCAGGACUUUUUGUCCAUUGAAUAAUAGAGUAUGGGAUAAUAAAAGAUGAAAGAGAAAAGAUGUAUUUCUCUUCCAGCGUUAAAAACUGGAAGGUCUUUUUUCUUUAAUGAUUAAUAGGGACUAUUGGGGCAAUUAAUAUUUCUACUCGAGCGGUGAAAAGUUUAGACAGUAGAAAGAUUAACUAAUGCGAAAGCACUUUGCAAAGGUGUUUUCAUUAAUCAAGAACGAAAGUUAAGGGAUCGAAGAUGAUCAGAUACCGUCGUAGUCUUAACCAUAAACUUUGUCGACAAAAGAUGGGAUUGAAAAUAUAAAUAUAUUUUCUUUCUAAAAAAAGGUACUAAAAUAGUUCUAUUGUUUUAGCAAUAAAAUAAUAGAACUUGUAACUGUCUCUUCCCGAAUUUCGUAAGAAAUUAAGAGUUUUCGGACUUUGGGGGGAGUAUGGUCGCAAGGCUGAAACUUAAAGGAAUUGACGGAAGGGCACCACCAGGUGUGGAAUUUGCGGUUUAAUUUGACCCAACACGGGGAAACUCACCAGGUCAGGACAUGAUAAGGAUUGACAGAUUAAAAGAUCUUUCAUGAUUUUAUGGGUGGUGGUGCAUGGCCGAUCUUAGUUCGUGGUAUGAAUUGUCUCUUAGUUCGUGGUAUGAAUUGUCUGCUUAACUGCGUUAACGAACGAGACCUUUAGAGAUAAAUAGUGAUGUAUGGAAGGUGUCAAAAAUAGGAGGUAUCUUUGGGAGAAGGGCAUGUUCCCCUUUCAAAUGUCAUUGCCUUUUAUUUAUCUUUCAUAUUAUCUAUUUAGAAAUGUAAAAUGUCAAAAGUUUUGCAGUUUUAAAUAACUUACUUCUUAUUUCGACUAUUGAUGUUCAAUCAAUGUAAGUUAAAGGCAAUAUCAGGUCUGUGAUGCCCUUAGAUGUUCUGGGCCACACGCGUAUUACAAUGGUAAAGAUCAAAGGGUAUUGAGAAAAUUUUGAAUUGGAGAAGGAGGAAACUCUUUUUUCAGUUUAAAUUUCUCUAUGCUUAAUAGAAAUAUUUGGCUAAUCCUUUUUGAAUCUUUUUAACCAUAUCUGGGAUAGAUGCUUGUAAUUUUUCAUCUUCAACUUGGAAUACCUAGUAAACAUAGUUCAACAAACUAUGUUGAUUACGUCCCUGCCCUUUGUACACACCGCCCGUCGCUCCUACCGAUUGAAUUAUCCGAUGAGUUAUAAGGAGAAAGAGUUUAUUUAGUAGCAAUAUUGAAUUUAUUUUUUCAAAUUAUAACAAAUCUUAUAAUUUAGAGGAAGGAGAAGUCGUAACAAGGU